AUUCUGAUUGACAUGAUGAAAUGCAAUGUAUCUAAUGUUAAAUGACCUAAAAAUGAAUGCAUGCAUGAGGUGUAAAGCAUAUGCUUCCAGGAAAAAUGAAGGGUAAAUUUUGGGGUAUUAAUCUAAUUCUGAUUGACAUGAUGAAAUGCAAUGUAUCUAAUGUUAAAUGACCUAAAAAUGAAUGCAUGCAUGAGGUGUAAAGCAUAUGCUUCCAGGAAAAAUGAAGGGUAAAUUUUGGGGUAUU
This 244-nucleotide long non-coding RNA is filed under the name Lathyrus oleraceus (garden pea). Its description in RNAcentral is "Pisum sativum (pea) long non-coding RNA (PSAT_LNC023113)". The record is from RNAcentral. Lineage: Eukaryota; Viridiplantae; Streptophyta; Magnoliopsida; Fabales; Fabaceae.